CGUGAGAUGUUGGGUUAAGUCCCGCAACGAGCGCAACCCCUAUUGUUAGUUGCUACGCAAGAGCACUCUAGCGAGACUGCGUUGACAAAACGGAGGAAGGUGGGGACGACGUCAAAUCAUCAUGCCCCUUAUGUCCUGGGCUACACACGUAAUACAAUGGCAUUUAACAGAGGGAAGCAAAGCCGCGAGGUGGAGCAAAUCCCUAAAAGGUGUCUCAGUUCGGAUUGCAGGCUGCAACUCGCCUGCA
Molecule: ribosomal RNA, 247 nt
Filed under: uncultured bacterium
Lineage: Bacteria
Description: partial 16S ribosomal RNA
Rfam family: Bacterial small subunit ribosomal RNA
Source: RNAcentral